This 253-nucleotide ribosomal RNA is filed under the name uncultured bacterium. RNAcentral's name for it is "partial 16S ribosomal RNA". It matches the Rfam family "Bacterial small subunit ribosomal RNA", at positions 524 to 776 of the family's 1533-position model. The record is from RNAcentral.
AACGUAGGAGGCGAGCGUUAUCCGGAUUCACUGGGCGUAAAGCGCGUGCAGGUGGCCUGGUAAGUUAGGCGUGAAAUCUCCCGGCUCAACUGGGAGAGGUCGUCUAAUACUACCGGGCUAGAGAACAGAAGAGGAAGAUGGAAUUCCCGGUGUAGUGGUGAAAUGCGUAGAUAUCGGGAGGAACACCAGUGGCGAAGGCGAUCUUCUGGUCUGUUUCUGACACUCAGACGCGACAGCUAGGGUAGUAAACGGG